Molecule: long non-coding RNA, 500 nt
Filed under: Pogona vitticeps (central bearded dragon)
Lineage: Eukaryota; Metazoa; Chordata; Lepidosauria; Squamata; Agamidae
Description: lncRNA (ENSPVIG00000007606.1)
Source: RNAcentral
AUGUGUUGCUACCUGGGUGCUGUCAUGGGAAGCCACCCAAAAAUCAUCUGUGACUCAGAAACAGGACCCUUUAAUGACUGGUGGGCAGAAUUCUACAGCUUUUCCUUCGUCCAGAUACAGUACAGGCGUACCUCAUCUAUGACAGCCAGAGCUAAGUUGCACUGGGAUGUCAAGGAGAUAGUUAGCACACAUCCUUGGAUAUUCAGCAAAGUUCAAAAGGCUGUUUAUUUUAAAGUGUGCCAAGAUAAGAGUGGCAAACACGCUUGGUUAACUUCCAUGCGUUCCUUCCUUGUUGCUUGUUGUUAUCUUAGAUGUUGCAAAACCAAUGCCUUAUUUUCUCCUUAUGCAGAUUUUCCAAGAGAUACAGAUCGGACGCAGAUUGAGCCCAGCAUGUAUCUUACGUCGCUUCUUUCAGGCCUGAUUUAAUCUCAGUUCAAAGGUGGUCUUUUCUUGGUGAGUAAACAGAGGGAGGCUACAAAAACAGCUGCGGGAGUUGCUUU